This 481-nucleotide ribosomal RNA is filed under the name uncultured bacterium. Its description in RNAcentral is "partial 16S ribosomal RNA". It matches the Rfam family "Bacterial small subunit ribosomal RNA", at positions 28 to 507 of the family's 1533-position model. The record is from RNAcentral.
GAUGAACGCUGGCGGCGUGCUUAACACAUGCAAGUCGAACGAAGCACUUUAUUUGAUUUCCUUCGGGACUGAUUAUUUUGUGACUGAGUGGCGGACGGGUGAGUAACGCGUGGGUAACCUGCCUUGUACAGGGGGAUAACAGUUGGAAACGGCUGCUAAUACCGCAUAAGCGCACAGCAUCGCAUGAUGCAGUGUGAAAAACUCCGGUGGUAUAAGAUGGACCCGCGUUGGAUUAGCUAGUUGGUGAGGUAACGGCCUACCAAGGCGACGAUCCAUAGCCGACCUGAGAGGGUGACCGGCCACAUUGGGACUGAGACACGGCCCAAACUCCUACGGGAAGCAGCAGUGGGGAAUAUUGCACAAUGGGCGAAAGCCUGAUGCAGCGACGCCGCGUGAGCGAAGAAGUAUUUCGGUAUGUAAAGCUCUAUCAGCAGGGAAGAUAAUGACGGUACCUGACGAAGAAGCACCGGCUAAAUACGUG